This is a long non-coding RNA of Mus musculus (house mouse), 300 nucleotides long. RefSeq annotates it as predicted gene, 51970. The transcript has 3 exons. Lineage: Eukaryota; Metazoa; Chordata; Mammalia; Rodentia; Muridae. The record is from RefSeq and is a predicted model, not a curated record.
UUUCAGCCAACGCUUGCUAGUAUAUGCAAUGGUGUCAUGGUUUGGAGGCUAAGUAUAUAUCCAGACGAUGUCCCAACUGAAUUGGAAACAAUCACCCAUGGAAGGAGUUACAGAGAUAAAGUUUGGAGCUGAGACAAAAGGAUGGACCAUCUAGAGAAUGCCAUAUCCAGGGAUCCAUCUCAUGGUUUUACUUUUAAUUCAACCAUCUAGAAUGAGAAAAUCAGAGUUAAGGAGUUUUAGAAGUUCACUUGUGGACAUUAAACUACCUAAAAACAACUAGAAUGAAGCAGAGCUACUUUG